This 2923-nucleotide ribosomal RNA is filed under the name Bacillus cereus. RNAcentral's name for it is "23S ribosomal RNA". It matches the Rfam family "Bacterial large subunit ribosomal RNA". Lineage: Bacteria; Bacillati; Bacillota; Bacilli; Caryophanales; Bacillaceae. RNAcentral also lists the same sequence under 8 other names. The record is from RNAcentral.
GGUUAAGUUAGAAAGGGCGCACGGUGGAUGCCUUGACACUAGGAGUCGAUGAAGGACGGGACUAACGCCGAUAUGCUUCGGGGAGCUGUAAGUAAGCUUUGAUCCGAAGAUUUCCGAAUGGGGAAACCCACCAUACGUAAUGGUAUGGUAUCCUUAUCUGAAUACAUAGGGUAAGGAAGACAGACCCAGGGAACUGAAACAUCUAAGUACCUGGAGGAAGAGAAAGCAAAUGCGAUUUCCUGAGUAGCGGCGAGCGAAACGGAACAUAGCCCAAACCAAGAGGCUUGCCUCUUGGGGUUGUAGGACAUUCUAUACGGAGUUACAAAGGAACGAGGUAGACGAAGCGACCUGGAAAGGUCCGUCGUAGAGGGUAACAACCCCGUAGUCGAAACUUCGUUCUCUCUUGAAUGUAUCCUGAGUACGGCGGAACACGUGAAAUUCCGUCGGAAUCUGGGAGGACCAUCUCCCAAGGCUAAAUACUCCCUAGUGAUCGAUAGUGAACCAGUACCGUGAGGGAAAGGUGAAAAGCACCCCGGAAGGGGAGUGAAAGAGAUCCUGAAACCGUGUGCCUACAAAUAGUCAGAGCCCGUUAACGGGUGAUGGCGUGCCUUUUGUAGAAUGAACCGGCGAGUUACGAUCCCGUGCGAGGUUAAGCUGAAGAGGCGGAGCCGCAGCGAAAGCGAGUCUGAAUAGGGCGUUUAGUACGUGGUCGUAGACCCGAAACCAGGUGAUCUACCCAUGUCCAGGGUGAAGUUCAGGUAACACUGAAUGGAGGCCCGAACCCACGCACGUUGAAAAGUGCGGGGAUGAGGUGUGGGUAGCGGAGAAAUUCCAAUCGAACCUGGAGAUAGCUGGUUCUCCCCGAAAUAGCUUUAGGGCUAGCCUUAAGUGUAAGAGUCUUGGAGGUAGAGCACUGAUUGGACUAGGGGUCCUCAUCGGAUUACCGAAUUCAGUCAAACUCCGAAUGCCAAUGACUUAUCCUUAGGAGUCAGACUGCGAGUGAUAAGAUCCGUAGUCAAAAGGGAAACAGCCCAGACCGCCAGCUAAGGUCCCAAAGUGUGUAUUAAGUGGAAAAGGAUGUGGAGUUGCUUAGACAACUAGGAUGUUGGCUUAGAAGCAGCCACCAUUUAAAGAGUGCGUAAUAGCUCACUAGUCGAGUGACUCUGCGCCGAAAAUGUACCGGGGCUAAAUACACCACCGAAGCUGCGGAUUGAUACCGAAUGGUAUCAGUGGUAGGGGAGCGUUCUAAGGACAGUGAAGUCAGACCGUAAGGACUGGUGGAGUGCUUAGAAGUGAGAAUGCCGGUAUGAGUAGCGAAAGACGGGUGAGAAUCCCGUCCACCGAAUGCCUAAGGUUUCCUGAGGAAGGCUCGUCCGCUCAGGGUUAGUCAGGACCUAAGCCGAGGCCGACAGGCGUAGGCGAUGGACAACAGGUUGAUAUUCCUGUACCACCUCUUUAUCGUUUGAGCAAUGGAGGGACGCAGAAGGAUAGAAGAAGCGUGCGAUUGGUUGUGCACGUCCAAGCAGUUAGGCUGAUAAGUAGGCAAAUCCGCUUAUCGUAAAGGCUGAGCUGUGAUGGGGAAGCUCCUUAUGGAGCGAAGUCUUUGAUUCCCCGCUGCCAAGAAAAGCUUCUAGCGAGAUAAAAGGUGCCUGUACCGCAAACCGACACAGGUAGGCGAGGAGAGAAUCCUAAGGUGUGCGAGAGAACUCUGGUUAAGGAACUCGGCAAAAUGACCCCGUAACUUCGGGAGAAGGGGUGCUUUCUUAACGGAAAGCCGCAGUGAAUAGGCCCAAGCGACUGUUUAGCAAAAACACAGCUCUCUGCGAAGCCGUAAGGCGAAGUAUAGGGGGUGACACCUGCCCGGUGCUGGAAGGUUAAGGAGAGGGGUUAGCGUAAGCGAAGCUCUGAACUGAAGCCCCAGUAAACGGCGGCCGUAACUAUAACGGUCCUAAGGUAGCGAAAUUCCUUGUCGGGUAAGUUCCGACCCGCACGAAAGGUGUAACGAUUUGGGCACUGUCUCAACCAGAGACUCGGUGAAAUUAUAGUACCUGUGAAGAUGCAGGUUACCCGCGACAGGACGGAAAGACCCCGUGGAGCUUUACUGUAGCCUGAUAUUGAAUUUUGGUACAGUUUGUACAGGAUAGGCGGGAGCCAUUGAAACCGGAGCGCUAGCUUCGGUGGAGGCGCUGGUGGGAUACCGCCCUGACUGUAUUGAAAUUCUAACCUACGGGUCUUAUCGACCCGGGAGACAGUGUCAGGUGGGCAGUUUGACUGGGGCGGUCGCCUCCUAAAGUGUAACGGAGGCGCCCAAAGGUUCCCUCAGAAUGGUUGGAAAUCAUUCGUAGAGUGCAAAGGCAUAAGGGAGCUUGACUGCGAGACCUACAAGUCGAGCAGGGACGAAAGUCGGGCUUAGUGAUCCGGUGGUUCCGCAUGGAAGGGCCAUCGCUCAACGGAUAAAAGCUACCCCGGGGAUAACAGGCUUAUCUCCCCCAAGAGUCCACAUCGACGGGGAGGUUUGGCACCUCGAUGUCGGCUCAUCGCAUCCUGGGGCUGUAGUCGGUCCCAAGGGUUGGGCUGUUCGCCCAUUAAAGCGGUACGCGAGCUGGGUUCAGAACGUCGUGAGACAGUUCGGUCCCUAUCCGUCGUGGGCGUAGGAAAUUUGAGAGGAGCUGUCCUUAGUACGAGAGGACCGGGAUGGACGCACCGCUGGUGUACCAGUUGUUCUGCCAAGGGCAUAGCUGGGUAGCUAUGUGCGGAAGGGAUAAGUGCUGAAAGCAUCUAAGCAUGAAGCCCCCCUCAAGAUGAGAUUUCCCAUAGCGUAAGCUAGUAAGAUCCCUGAAAGAUGAUCAGGUUGAUAGGUUCGAGGUGGAAGCAUGGUGACAUGUGGAGCUGACGAAUACUAAUAGAUCGAGGACUUAACCAU